UAGGGAAUCUUCGGCAAUGGACGAAAGUCUGACCGAGCAACGCCGCGUGAGUGAAGAAGGUUUUCGGAUCGUAAAACUCUGUUGUUAGAGAAGAACAAGGACGUUAGUAACUGAACGUCCCCUGACGGUAUCUAACCAGAAAGCCACGGCUAACUACGUGCCAGCAGCCGCGGUAAUACGUAGGUGGCAAGCGUUGUCCGGAUUUAUUGGGCGUAAAGCGAGCGCAGGCGGUUUCUUAAGUCUGAUGUGAAAGCCCCCGGCUCAACCGGGGAGGGUCAUUGGAAACUUGGAGACUUGAGUGGAGAAGAGGAGAGUGGAAUUCCAUGUGUAGCGGUGAAAUGCGUAGAUAUAUGGAGGAACACCAGUGGCGAAGGCGGCUCUCUGGUCUGUAACUGACGCUGAGGCUCGAAAGCGUGGGGAGCAAACAGG
RNAcentral lists this ribosomal RNA (429 nucleotides) under Gemmatimonadota bacterium. Its description in RNAcentral is "Gemmatimonadetes bacterium partial 16S ribosomal RNA". It matches the Rfam family "Bacterial small subunit ribosomal RNA", at positions 355 to 776 of the family's 1533-position model. The record is from RNAcentral. Lineage: Bacteria; Pseudomonadati; Gemmatimonadota.